AGUUUGCGUUGAAAUAAACAGAACGGUGGCAACUGCAGCAGCAGAGUAAUAACGCUAUUCCACGUUGAUUGCAUGUGGUGAGUAAAAGUGGUUGUGUAAAAAUCUUAUAAUAUUAAAUGCGAUGUUCGAUCAUUUAUUUAUCCAUGGUACGUUCAAUUUGAAUAAUUAUUGUUAAUAGUUGUUAUAAAUUGCUCAUUUUAUUGUUCUUUGUGGAUUGUAACAGUACACUCUGUACAUGGCUUUAGUUCUUAGGUUUGAUUUUACAGAGGAUGAGAUGAUCAGUAGGUGGUGGUGUUCUGUUCUCCUGGACAGCUUCACUCCGCAAAUAGCUCAACCACUGAGGGGAGGAACUUCACCAUUCAAAAGACAGUGUCUUCAGGCAGAGUCCAGCAAAGCAGAUGGCUUAGGGAUGUGGUCACUCAAGAAGUUUUCCGGAAAGCGGCACACUUUGCCUGGCUAGACAUUGUGGCCAACUGGAAGAAUUGUCCUCCUGUCUACCGGAACGAGUUCAGACGGAUGUACAGCAUCAGGGAAUGCUUGCAGUGCAGAGCCCUUUUCAAGUUUAACCCACCAGGGUACAGGGAAGAGGCCGGCGUGGUGAUCUUCUGGGCUUUUGUUUACACAGGAUUUUGUUCCAAGGGCCGUUUUUUUUUUUUUUUUGCGGCAUGAAACACAUUUGUGUGUCCAUUGAAGGGAAAUAGAGAAUGAACUGAGAUCAACUGGUUUUGAUGUAUUAAUUGAUGUCAUUUAAAGUUAAACUUUGCAGUGUAUAAUGUUUUAAUAAAAAAGCUAUGGCAAACACGUGCAUGACAACAGGUUUCAGUCAUUUACAUCAGUCUAUCAUUCUUUAAGGUUUCUCAUAUUUGAUGGUAACAUCAUUUGCUAUGCAUUGCUCAUAAUGAAUUCUUAAUUUAGUUGUGACAAUUCGGUGUAAUUUUUCAAUUACCA
This is a long non-coding RNA of Carassius carassius (crucian carp), 948 nucleotides long. RefSeq lists it as uncharacterized. The transcript is spliced from 5 exons. NCBI's taxonomy places the organism in Eukaryota, Metazoa, Chordata, Actinopteri, Cypriniformes, Cyprinidae. The record is from RefSeq and is a predicted model, not a curated record.